Molecule: long non-coding RNA, 241 nt
Organism: Melanaphis sacchari
Lineage: Eukaryota; Metazoa; Arthropoda; Insecta; Hemiptera; Aphididae
Exons: 3
Source: RefSeq, a predicted model, not a curated record
AUGUGUCACAUAGCACUACUCACAACAUUGCAACUUAAUCGAUAAAUUGCUACUCGCCAAAAAGAUACAUCAAAACUUGAUCAUCUGCUCACUAAUAAUUUACAGUAAAAAUAAGGAUUCUGUCAACUGAAACAAAGAAGAUUGUAUCAUGAUGGGACACACUUGAAAUGGCAUAAACAAAGAUUUCUGACGAAUUCGACUCGUGCCAUCUGAUCGUGACAGUUGACCGCUACGGAUCCGG